Molecule: ribosomal RNA, 403 nt
Filed under: Fusobacteriota bacterium
Lineage: Bacteria; Fusobacteriati; Fusobacteriota
Description: Fusobacteria bacterium partial 16S ribosomal RNA
Rfam family: Bacterial small subunit ribosomal RNA
Source: RNAcentral
UGGGGAAUAUUGCACAAUGGAGGGAACUCUGAUGCAGCGACGCCGCGUGAACGAAGAAGGCUUUCGAGUCGUAAAGUUCUUUUAUAUGGGAAGAUAAUGACGGUACCAUAAGAAAAAGCCCCGGCUAACUACGUGCCAGCAGCCGCGGUAAUACGUAGGGGGCUAGCGUUGUCCGGAAUCACUGGGCGUAAAGGGUUCGCAGGCGGAAAUGCAAGUCAGGUGUAAAAGGCAGUAGCUUAACUACUGUAAGCAUUUGAAACUGCAUAUCUUGAGAAGAGUAGAGGUAAAUGGAAUUUUUAGUGUAGCGGUGAAAUGCGUAGAUAUUAAGAAGAAUACCGGUGGCGAAGGCGACUUACUGGGCUCAUUCUGACGCUGAGGAACGAAAGCGUGGGUAGCAAACAGG